Molecule: transfer RNA, 61 nt
Filed under: Epeurysa nawaii
Lineage: Eukaryota; Metazoa; Arthropoda; Insecta; Hemiptera; Delphacidae
Description: tRNA-Cys
Source: RNAcentral
GACCUUGUAUUCAAAGUAAUGAUUUUAAAUUGCAAGUUUAAAGGUGGUUUAACCAAGGUUU